Diabrotica virgifera virgifera (western corn rootworm) is the source of this 464-nucleotide long non-coding RNA. RefSeq lists it as uncharacterized. Lineage: Eukaryota; Metazoa; Arthropoda; Insecta; Coleoptera; Chrysomelidae. The transcript is spliced from 3 exons. The record is from RefSeq and is a predicted model, not a curated record.
CGUGAUAAAGUUAACUUUUAGCACUUACCAUCAGUGCUACAUUCUAAGCACAAAACUGAACUGAAUAAGUUAUCAUCUGAGAGACAACAACAAUGGUAAAAUGCAAUCAAAUAUAAAGGUGUUACUAGCAAAAUGAAAAUUCUCCUGUCUCCUGUAACCAUUUUAUAUCUGGAAAACCAGCCGACUUAACUGAUAAUAACAAUCCAGAUUUAGUUCCUUCAAUAAAUAUGGGGUAUAUAAACACAAUGAAAUGAGUUCCCCAAAAUCUAAAAUGGAGCAGUAUCAAAGGAGAAUUAAAAGAAAAGGGUACCUACAAGAAAAAAUUGCUUUUUUUAUUCCUCUUGAAAUGAUUUAUAAGACACUGGACUGUCUUAUAUUCUACAAAUACUAGAAUCAGCUGAGAGAAGUGUCUACAAAAAACUAGGAAGGAAACGGAAUAUAUGGCUACGAAAGGCAAAAGAAAG